AGAGGUUUUCCGAGUUUUAAAGGCUGUCCAAUCCGGCGGCCCAGGGCAAGUGUGCAAGGCAUCGGAACUGCCCUCCUCGAGGUAGAAGGUCAGGAAGCCCCUCCCUCUGGCCCCCGCUGUCUUGCUGUAAAACGCCGGGAAAUCUGUAAAGAGCGGGCGGGCUGAACCCAGAGCAUUUUUCCCCUCUCUAAUUGGGCGGUUCCAAACUUCACCACAGGGGGUACUAAAUUGUCCCGGGCUCUUUUAUUCGAGUCCACACGAGCAGGAAGCGCACUGUGGUUCUGCAGCUGCGAUAAGUUCCGUGUUGGAUUCACAAACUGGAGCCUGUUGUCUUGGGGUUGGGGGAAGUUAAAAAAAAAACCUCAGCUCUCCGAAGUGUCCGCAGCAAGGAGGCCUCUGGUGCUGCUUUGGAGCCGCAGUGCAUGGGCACCUCGAACUGCACCGCUACGUGUCCCCACGUUUCCAGCUCAGAGGAAGCUUGGUUAGGGACAGUGUCCAUCCACAAAGAGAUCCUGCACACAGGCGGAUAAUCCACGCAAAACCCCGGUGAGGAGAUUAGAUUAGAUACAUUAGAUCUGAUGGCUUAGAAUGCGGGCUGCCUGCCGAGAAGGCAACCAGGGCUGUGAGUUCCUUUCUCAACUUGGGUUAAAUCUUCUGUCCCUACAGCCUGGCCCUGAGGGUGAAGUCACCGGGAAACGGAGGGUUCUCGGCCAGCAAUAAGGUGCCCACGGGUAUCAGGUAAACCCCGGUGCUCUAAAGCACAACGUUGGUUCUGAGUGUCGUUCGGCCCCUUUAGGGGACAGAGCAUUUUCACUGUCGAUACCUGGUUGGACCUUUAGAGCCGCUGAUAACGUGAGGGUUGCAGGGCAGGCAGCUGCAUCUCCUUAAACUCACCAAUAGCUGCCUCCCUUGUUGCUUGCUGAUGAAAGUCCAGAUUUUUCCUGAUAGUGGAUGGCGGUGUGUUCGUGGAAGGUGGGCUUAGCCCCAGGAGAUGAUUCAUAAUUGCUCUAAGCCAAUCAUGAUAGAAGCAUUACUUCUUUUUUUAAAAAAUUGAGGUGGUAUAGUUGCUUUACAAUGUUGUAUUAGUUUCAGGUGUACAGCAAAGCAAUGCAGUUAUACCUAUAUGUAUUCCUUUUUAGAUUCUUUUCCAUUAUAGUGUAUUAUAAGAUACUGAAUAUAGUUCUCAGGAGGUUCUUGUUUAUCUAUUUUAUACAUAGUAGUGUGUAUCUGUUAAUCCCAACCUCCUAAUUCAUCCCUCCCCCCACCCUUCCCCUUUGGCCUGUGAAUCUAUUUUGUUUCAUAAAUGAGUUCAUUUGUAUCAUAUUUUUAAAUGUCACAUAUAAGUGAUACCAUGAUAUUUGUCUUUCUCUGACUUCACUUAGUAUGAUAAUCUCUAGGGUUCAUCUCUGUUGCUGCAAAUGGCAUUAUUUCAUUCUUUUUAAUGGCUGCGUAAUAUUCCAUGGCGUGUGUGUAUAUGUGUGUGUGU
RNAcentral lists this long non-coding RNA (1486 nucleotides) under Sus scrofa (pig). Its description in RNAcentral is "lncRNA (ENSSSCG00070024339.1)". The record is from RNAcentral. Lineage: Eukaryota; Metazoa; Chordata; Mammalia; Artiodactyla; Suidae.